AAUGUUGGAGAGCUCUGCGGGUCAAAGUUAUAUUAAUGCACAUUUGCUAUUGAAGUGCAAAUUGUUUGAGAUUCUGGAAUUGGUUACUCCUACCUAAUUUAUCUGUGCCGAUUUUCCUCCUUUUCAAAACCAUAACAUUGUGUUUAAAAGUCAUUCAUAGUUGAGUGUAAAUGUGUUUUUAUAGAGAUAUAUAACUUUAGAAAUGUCAGUGGCUGUAAUAAGAAAUGUUAUUUUCUUGGUAAAUAUACACAUCGCAGGUAUGGAGCAUUACACAUAUUAAAUUGCAAAUUACAUUAUGGUUUCAUGGUGCUUGACGAUACUCCAGUCCAGUGUAUAACAAACCCACGUAGUUUUCUUCUGUUCACUCACAUAACAAUCCCAUGCAGUCUUUUAUAUUAAAUGUAUGUCAAGCAAAAAAAUUUGCUCAGGUCCCACCAUUUCUCAGGGAUAAAACAAACUGCUAUUAUGGGCCAGACAUUGAUGGAUAAUGUACUGAAGAAGGCAACGCUGGCAAGACGUAACGAGAAAGAAAGCAAAAAAAAAAUCCCUGCCAACCCUCGACUAGCUUAGAGCUUUCCACUUACCAGAUGCGCUCGCACUUGUUAAUACCGCGGCACAAAAUUGCUUCUGUCAUUGCAGGACACAUGUACCGGGUACUUUUGAAUAAUGUACCUGGGUCACGUGUCACCUCCCAGAUGAAUCAUACGUCUGAUUACGAGCAGGAUGGAGCACUAAGCAAUCCUGAGAACUGUGAAUCAGAUGAGCACAGGUGCUGAUUUUCUCCAGACUAUAGAGAAUCUCUUCUUCGCUGCAGCCCGAGAUGGGUUACCCUGUUGUAGAAGACCCAAGGCGCACACUGUGGAUGCCUCUGGCGCGGGAGAUCAAGAUCAAGAUGUCAUCUUGGCCAAAGCCAUGGAUGGCCACCAGCGAGGAAGACUUUGGGUAAAUACUGACAUGGUAGCGUGAGUCGUGCAGAAUCAAAGAGGACUACAUUAGUGCAAACUCAUAUCCAAUCGGGUGUGGUAAUGAUGUGGUUCAUCUACUGCUCUAUGAAUCGUGCGAGUUAAGAUGCAUGUAUGUUGAAUUUAUUACGCACCGUACGUAGCCCAACCGUUUGAACACAUGUGUAGGAUGCCCCCCGGUAAACUCCCCCUGGAACUCUACCGGGCACGCCCCACUGGUCGAAGGCCCCAAGGCCGGCCCAGGACACGCUCGUGGGACUAUGUCGCUCGGCUGGCCUGUGAACGCCUGGAAAGGGAGGUCUGGCCCGCCCUACUCAACAUGCUGCCCCCGCGACCCUCACCUGGACAAGCAGAUUGAGAAACGAACGAACGGAGCCAACUGUGCAGAUCAGUUCCUAUCCAAGGUUAGUUUUAGUGGUGAUAUCUGAACUCGUCCUGGUUUCUGCACUUCAGCAAGCGUGCACUGACCAGAGUGGUGAAGUAUGGUCACACAACCCCCUUGAAUGACGCGGCAUGGGGAAUGCCUUUAUUAAGCUGUGGAUUGACAAAUAGCUGUACAGUAUAAUUAUUGUUACUAUUAUUAUUCAUAGCUCAUAGACUUGUAUACUGCUGAGACACAGGCAAUAUGUCAAGUGAAUGAGGGAAUACCAUAUCUGGAUUAUGUUUCACAGAAUCAGGCAGUAACAACAUUGUGAAGUCAACACAGUUCAAACAGAACUAAAUACAUAUUUGUUUUAUGUCCUACAAAUAGUCAGAUAAAUGACCUACCACUGCUGCACGAAAAAAAAAGACAAUAAAGAGUUGAUGGAUAUAAACAGCAUGUCUGUAAUUUUAGUACUUGCAAGCAUUCCACAAGGAAGCUUGAGCGCGGCAGUGAAGCCAUGUUGUGUUAUGGCUAACAUAUUUAAUGUGAAUUGAAUGAAAAACUAUAAAUCAUUUAAUAAAUUAAAUUGGACGAGUGCCAUUUGGAAAUUCUGGCAUGACACAUUAGACUCCUGGGUUGGAUUUCAGGUCACUAUGAAGUUUCAUUUGCAGCAAAUCUAUAAAGAGAAAUCAAUAUUUUUGUUUUCAAGAGCAUGCUGUAGCAGAUAACUAUUAAAACGUUGUGAAAUUAAUUGUGGUGGCAAAUACGUUAAAACCACAUAUUAAAACAAAUCGUCAAAUCAAUAUAUAUCUUAAUAAAUAACUACAUUGUUAUCUUGACGAAGGGUUGUCAGGCCUUGAUUUUCAUCCUCAAUGUGAUUCAACAUUCCUGGUUCAACUGGUGUUUUUUUAAUGGCUUCUCAGUGCAAACUGAUGGUGGCUCGCAAUCAGAAGGUUGCACACUUAAAUAUUGGUUGGGUUUGGCUCAGGCCACAAUCUCUCCAGGGUUGACAUAUGUAUCCCUUUGUGGGGGAGUCAACAGUGGGCGUCCUAUGGAUAGCCUGUCUCCGGGCAAGAGAAUGUCGAAUUUCCACCACUGUCUCAGGGCUGUAAAUGGGUAAUGAGCACCAUCUCAUUGUUGAUUUGAGCAGGAAACCACUUUUAUGUAUUUCCUUCUCAAUGGGAAUGGAAUGUUGGAACAGUAGUAUCCCAAACUUUUAAUUGAGUCACAGGCAAUAAGCAAAAUGGAAUCAGCGUAUACUCUUUUUGUCACUACAGCAGUAACAAAUUAUGCUUGUGAGUGGAGAGCAUAAAUGAGUGUAGAAUUUGAGCGUAGAACGUAUGUUGAACUUAUUUCGCACCGUAGGUAGCCAAGAGUGCUAAUCGGAGGUGUGAACAUACAUUAGCUACACAUAAAACCUGGUUUAUGCAGCACCAUUAGUGAUUCUUACUCGGAUGUCCGAAAAUCACCUGAAGACUAUCACUGUGAAAAGAUAAACACCACGACCAUGCUAUGUUUUAUUGCCAUGCAUUAGAGUAAGUCUAUGCAGAACUUGGCACACUUUGUUUCAGCGCAUUCAUAUGGGUAAUUAAGGUCUUCUGACCAAUAAUAUUGUGGUGACACAUUCAUCACAUAUGCAAGCAAUUUUUAUACUGCAGAGCCUAGGUUAUGAGGCUGAAGAAUGGCCUGAGGGUUGCAAUAAUAUGCGAUUUUUGUGUCAUGCCUGUAUCCACAAUCAUACUCUUGCAGCCUAAUUGCACUGCCAUGAUGCAAUUACAGGCUCAGCCGUGAAUCAAGUGCUGGGAAUUCAAAGUCAAUUCACACCCUUGGUCCGAAUUUGCCAUAAAUUCCCUACAGUUCCAGCGGAAGGAUAGAUCCAAUGAUAAUGAUGCUGUGGUUACUUUAAAAAUGCUAAAUUUCAAGAGGUGACUAGGUGGCUCUGGGGGAUAAUGUCCUUGUCAAGGUACUGGGUCAAAACCGCUGACAUCAUGUGUUCAAACCCCAGGUACCACUUGGGGUGAUAAUUGGAUUUAUAUGCAGUGCGUUUGACAACCUCAGCCCGAUUCACCAAUUACAUAUCCACACAAUAUGACGUGAGACAUCUUACACUUCGGAUUUUGAUUGUAUUUUCCCAUGUGUAGCUAUGACCACUAAUCAAACAAAACGACCUACUGCAUAUGAUGAGACGCCAUAUAUCGAAACUGGUCCGGAAUGUGCUUGUAUCGAAUCAAUGGUGCUGAAGUUAUGCAUUUAAAGAAGACCAAGGGGACGACGGGUUGUGUAAGAAAUGCUUUAAAUUGUGAAGUAGGCAUAUUUCUGAUGAUCUAUUGUGUUGUUUAUAUUCUUCAAAUACGACGCUCGUGAUUCCUUAGAGUGGUGUGCAUUGAGCAGAUUUCUACUCUGCAGGUAUUUGUUUUUGUUGAUAGAAAAUUUAUGUGGUGCCUCAUUGUUGCGGAUCAUUCAUGAGCAUUUUUAAUUCGCAUGCGUCACUGCUCAGUAUGGAGUCUUGAUGAUUGAAGAGCAACAUCACUCUUUAACAGAUGCCGGUUGGAAAAUAAGACUGAACAUAUUUAAGUAUCAACUGAAUUGGUUAUACUAUGUUUAACAAAAAUGUGUCAAUAUGUUCUUGAGUUUUUUGUUUUUUUUUGUUUUUAUACUUAAGUGUCAAACAUGGCUUUCCAUUCCAUCCACUGAAGAAAAAUUUGCAUGGAUUUUUGUUAUGGUUUUGAUUGAAUUAAUUUCUGUCAGAAAUGUAAAAACAUGCUGUGAAUAAACUUGAUGUGAAGCUGUGAAUGUUUAGGUAGUACUGGUGAUUUUAAUUAAUUUAGCGGGCAGUAACCGGCUUUGGCCGGGUCAAAAAGUAAUUUCAAACCUCCUCUUAAAAAUCUAACAGCAGUGCAUACUGACUGUGGUGGUACAUGCUAUGAUUACAG
Long non-coding RNA from Petromyzon marinus (sea lamprey), 4259 nucleotides. RefSeq lists it as uncharacterized. The record is from RefSeq and is a predicted model, not a curated record. NCBI's taxonomy places the organism in Eukaryota, Metazoa, Chordata, Hyperoartia, Petromyzontiformes, Petromyzontidae.